This is a long non-coding RNA of Mobula hypostoma (lesser devil ray), 591 nucleotides long. RefSeq lists it as uncharacterized. Lineage: Eukaryota; Metazoa; Chordata; Chondrichthyes; Myliobatiformes; Myliobatidae. The transcript is spliced from 4 exons. The record is from RefSeq and is a predicted model, not a curated record.
GAGACAUCGAGGUGAAUGCUGAAGGCGAGUGAGAGUUCAGCGCCGAUUGCCUUCCUUUUGAUCGCUGCCGGAGAAGGAACCUGUGAGCGGCCUAUUGCUGUGUGGCUCGCUGGGUCAGGGAAAACAGCCUCUGCUUUCCUGGUGACUCCUUACAGCCCAAGUCUUCCCAUCCCAGCAACAUCCUUGUGAACCAGUUCAGUACCAUCUCUAACUUAAUGACAUCCUACCCAUGGUAAGGUGAUCAGGACUGCAUACAAUACUCCAGGUUUGAAGAGACAGAUUUAAACUGAAAUAUCUACAGAAGACCCUCCCAAGUCCAGGACAUCUUUUUAACAAUGAGUCAGGCAGCUUGCCUCACUUCAAAGGAAAUUUAUUAUCAAAAAGGAAACCACAGCAUCUGGAAGAAAUUCACUCACUUAUGGGAAGGACAUACAAACAUCUUUCAGAGGACGCCGGAAAUGAACCCCUCAGCUGUAAGAGUGUUGGGCUUAAUGCUAUGCUACCGUGGUGCCCAUAUAUUUUCGACACUUAUUUUAUGCCAAUUUUUUUGCCAAACUUUAUUUUAAUCUGUUUUGAUAUAGAAUUCUACCC